Molecule: ribosomal RNA, 468 nt
Filed under: uncultured bacterium
Lineage: Bacteria
Description: partial 16S ribosomal RNA
Rfam family: Bacterial small subunit ribosomal RNA
Source: RNAcentral
GACGAACGCUGGCGGCGUGCUUAACACAUGCAAGUCGAACGGAAAGGCGCUGCUUUUGUGGGGUGCUCGAGUGGCGAACGGGUGAGUAACACGUGAGUAACCUGCCAUUUACGUUGGGAUAACUUCAUGAAACUGGGGCUAAUAACGGAUAGGAGCUCCUGCUGCAUGGUGGUAUUUGGAAAGAUUCGGCGGUUGGGGAUGGACUCGCGGCUUAUCAGCUUGUUGGUGGGGUAGUGGCUUAACAUGGCUUUGACGGGUGGCCGGCCGGAGAGGGUGACCGGCCACAUUGGGACUGAGAUCACGCCCAGACCCCUACGGGAGGGAGCAGUGGGGAAUAUUGCAAAAUGGGCGGAAGCCUGAUGCCGAACCGCCGCGUGCGGGAUGUGGACCUUCGGGUUGUAAAACGUUUUUGCAUGUGACGAAGCGUGAGUGACGGUAAUGGGUAAAGAAGCAACGGCUAACUACGUG